CCCACCCACCCCACCCUGCAGGUUCUAUCACUGGGCCACACACUGGAGGCAGUUAUAGUGGCCAAUUAACCUGCCAGUUGUUGGCUUUCAGGAGGAGGUAGGAAACUGGUACAUCCUGAGGGAACCCGUGAGGUCACAGGGAGAACAUUCAUCUCUUCACCUGCUGUACAGAAGCCCACCAGCUGUAAGCAAAGCACCUUACAGAUAGAAUCUUGCAAGCUAAUUUUACCUGCCAGCUUUCCUGGGAUUCUUGACCUGCCGUGGAUAAAAGUUAAAUUCACAAGCCACUCCACCGCUAAUCCAUCCUGGGGGGUGGGGUGGUGGGGGUAGUGGGUUAACAUUUAACCCAAACAGUAGACACUGAAAUAAUUUUGAGCUGUAACCUCAUCAUAUUGGAGGGUUUAUAAAAUUGUGACAAGCAUGUUGUUAAGGAGGCACAUCAAGGUUUGACACAACGCCUGGAGACACAACUGUCUACAUCAGCAACAAAGCAAAUCGCAAACAGGUUGAAGGUCAAGGUAUGCUGACAGGAGGAAUUCAUUGAAGGCAGUUCCUCACACGCAGCUUAAAAGGAGUGGAACUGUGGAAUUCGAGCAAUUCCAGGUGUGGAGAAAAAUAUCCCAAGACUGCCCAACAUCAAUGAGAUCUUCAAAUUGUGGUGUUUCAAGAAGGACCAACAUAAUCCAACACUAAGGACCUUCACCAUCUGGACAUGACCUCUUCUCAUUGCUACCAUUGGAAAAAAGGGGCCAAGGAUGUUACCUCUGGGCCAAAACUGAAGAUGUGGGAGAGAAAGAGAAAGAGCAAAAUCGUAGAUUUCAAAGGCAGAGGCAAAGCUAUGUAAGAUUCAGAUCAGAUUAAAGCAGAGACACAAGAGACUGCAGAUGCUGGAAUCUGGAGCAACAACCAAUCUGCUGAAGAAAUGCAGAGGGUUGAGCAGCAUCGAUACGAGAAAAGGAACUGUUGGCACUUUGAGUCAAAGCUCCACAUCAGCAUUUGUUAUGCAGAGUGAUCCCACCAGCGGUCAAAAGGCAGGUAGCCGGUGCUCACCCUCCACAUUCACUUCAAGGUUUCAAUCUCCCUCUUUGCUUUAAUCGGCGAACAAUGAAAGCUUCAAUCAGUGAAAUGGAGUUGAACAUCAGUUCGUGCCCUGUCCCGCAGUCUCCUUGCCACGAGGUUCGCGCACACUGCCUCUGCCUCCUGGAAUCCUCUCAGAGAAUACAGACGCUGGAACACCCAAACGAUCUCUAAACUGCAGAUUACAGGCUCCUACAGUUCCAGAGUCACAUUCAAGAUGAAAAACAGACACAAAAGUCAUAAAAGAAGUGAAAUAUAUGGUUUCAUUAUCAACUCAGUAUGUCGAAUGUGUGAGUGUUGCUCCCAGGUGCCAUCUUGACUGGAAUGUGGCUUGGUUUGUGGCUUGAAGGGAGCUCAAGGAGCUUCAGAAAAGUUGCAAGUAUUUGGCUUUUGUGGGUAUAAAGAACCAGAAUCCACUCUGUGUGCAUUGUUAUUGCAGGAUCUUCAAGUGGGAGACAAAAUGCUUCUUGUAAAAGUAAAUGCAAUAUCAACACCCAGCUGGAUGAAUGAAAAGCCAAAAAGAAAAGUGUCAAUGGAGAUUCAAGUACAGAGAAUUUGUCAGAUGAUGUUUUAGAUGAGGAACCAAAGAGGAGAUCAGAUUGUAAAGGGAGGAAUAGAGGAAUUAAUAAGAGAAUACUCCAGAGAAUAUUCCAGUGAACUAAACGGACCUUCCCAAGAUCAAUAUGCACAAACCAGAAGAAAAAAGAGAUGAAAGGUAUCCACAGCUGUCAGAACCACUUCCUACAGUCUCAGAGUCUACUCCUACGACUAUCAUGGAGGAGGCCCCAGAACUUGAGAUUGUAUUUACAGCCAUAAGUCUUAACCGCCAAGCAGAGGGAUUCCACCCCCCACCCCCAUCAGGGAGGACAUUAUCCCACAAGAGUAGGACUGCGGGGUGAUUAAAUCUUUCCAUCUGAAUGGGACAAUUUAACAUUUACUAUGCUGUGAAUGUCUGCAUAUUAUGUCUGCAUAUAUGUUCUAUUAUAUAUUAUACUGGAGUCUAUAGCUAAGUAGGGUGGAGUGUUGUGUAUUUGAUAUUUCAAUAAUAUUUGAGUAAUGUAUAUAUGCAGUAUAUUGUUUGAUUUAACAUUCAUUUUCAUUUAAACAAUUAGUUGUGGGUUAUAUGUAAAAAUGUAUUACUUGCAUAUGUCAUUAUGUUACGACCUGAUACGUGCAUGCAUCGCUUAAA
This is a long non-coding RNA of Hypanus sabinus (Atlantic stingray), 2266 nucleotides long. RefSeq lists it as uncharacterized. Lineage: Eukaryota; Metazoa; Chordata; Chondrichthyes; Myliobatiformes; Dasyatidae. The transcript has 5 exons. The record is from RefSeq and is a predicted model, not a curated record.